AUGAAUUGGGCUCCGCCUAUGUCGGCGUUGAUGUUGAAAGGCCUUUUAGAGGUGGCGGCAAGAGUUGCCAAGACUGACAAAGGAUUCAAAGGGGUUGAAAAGUUGAAAGUUGCAAAGCGUAUCUCUUCUUUCAUUGGUUAUGACAUGCCUAUUACCCAAGUGCAUAAUCAUAAUUGCAAGUGUCGGAAUAGGUGGACAAGGCUUGUCUAUUUAAAGGGUUUAAGUGGGGCACUUUGGGAUGAUGACAAGAAGAUGGUAGUGCAAGAAGAAGAACACUAUUUGGGCCACACUCAGGAUCAUCCAACAGAUGCUGAAGUGCUCAAUUCUCCACUGGAGAACUACGACUAUAUGGAACCUUGCUUUGCUAAUAAGCAUGCCACUGGGAAUUAUGCAAUGGCCACCGAUGUGCCCCUAGGAACGCCUAUUGUUGUGGAAGACAAGGAUAAACCCAAUGUCAUGGAGGGGCAAGGAACAACAGAUGAGGUAUCGCAACAUCUUCCUGGGUCUAACUUUGUACUUCCUACUGCUAGUGCCACUCAGGACCCUUCUCCUACUUCAAAUAAGAAGAGAAAGAGGGCAUCUGGUUUGACCGAGGAGGACUCAAUCCAGUGUAGCAGCAUGAAUGAUGCUAUGCGUGAGAUUGCAAGUGCUAUCAACAACACUUGCCAUGCCGAAACACACCCUGACUUGUACAAGGCUGUCAUGGACCUUCUUGUGUUUGAUCAAGAUGAGUGCUUGGCUGUUUUAGAUUAUCUCACAGAACAUAAGGCAAAAGGCCUUAACUUUGUGAAGAUGGAUUCUAAAGUUCGUCAAGCAUCGUUCAAGCGUAUCUUG
This 834-nucleotide ribosomal RNA is filed under the name Triticum aestivum (bread wheat). Its description in RNAcentral is "partial small subunit ribosomal RNA". Lineage: Eukaryota; Viridiplantae; Streptophyta; Magnoliopsida; Poales; Poaceae. The record is from RNAcentral.